RNAcentral lists this long non-coding RNA (527 nucleotides) under Canis lupus familiaris (dog). Its description in RNAcentral is "lncRNA (ENSCAFG00040001739.1)". The record is from RNAcentral. Lineage: Eukaryota; Metazoa; Chordata; Mammalia; Carnivora; Canidae.
GGGGUGGGAAGAAAACUUUUCCUCUGUCACCUUAGGUUCUGAAGGUUGGGGAGAUGCAAAUUAGCUGACAACAGACCAGGAGAGAAGACAAGGUUUCUUCAGAUCUGCAUGAAUACAGAGGCAGGUGGCAAUUAUCAGUCACCUGCUGAAUAGCUGGAAGCAAAUAUUGAUAUAGCAAAAAUGUGUGGGAGGAGGUGAGAGCUUCAAUGGAAAAUGGGAGAGACUCUACUGGGUUCUUUAAUGCCACUGGAGAGCUGAAUUCACACUUCCCAGGGCUAAAGUUCUCUCAUGAAAAUGCUAAAGAAACAGAAAAUGCCUUUCCAGGAAUUGUCAGGGAUCUAACUACAGAUGCGACUCAUUCAUUUAGAACAAACAAUCCUAGAAACACAUGCUGCUACAGACGCUGGAGCAAUGUGUGUAGACAUUUGAGCCAAAUUGUUAUAAAGAACUCUUUCUUCUCUGAUAUGAAAAAAGGAGCGAGAAUUGCACAUUGCCUAGCAAAUCGUUAUCUCAGAUGUUCGCUGUGA